This 400-nucleotide unclassified non-coding RNA is filed under the name uncultured fungus. Its description in RNAcentral is "sequence contains ITS1". The stretch from base 1 to 104 matches the Rfam family "5.8S ribosomal RNA", at positions 50 to 154 of the family's 154-position model. The record is from RNAcentral. Lineage: Eukaryota; Fungi.
GAAAUGCGAUACGUGAUGCGAAUCGCAGAGAUCGGCGAGUCAUCCAAGUUUUGAACGCACCUUGCGCUCUCAGUGCUCCUGAGAGCACAUCCGUCUGAGCGUCGCCCCAUUCAUUGCCUCAAUCACCUCUCUCUACUCGAGAAAGGUGAUUGGUUCUUGGCUGUUCGCAUUUACUGAUUCAGUGAAAGCGUCAGCUUGAAUGCAAAGAAGGAUAAGCUGUACCUGUGUGUAUCAGUAAUGCACAGAUUUGGUACUGCAUUGGCAGUGAGGAGUUCUGCUCCUCUAAGUCCAGUGACUGGUGCUACUCAGUGUCUUGCUUGAUUGCAUCAAGUUAAGCUUUUGAUCUCAAUAAAGAUGUGAGCAUAUUCCACCAAGGACCGACCUCAGAUCGGGUGACGUA